UCGAAUCUAUUGCGCCUUUCAAAUUCAUAAAAAUCAAAACAAACUUAAAAAUAAAUUUAAAAAAUUCAACAUAUACUUUAAUUAGAAUAUCAAAUCAAAAUACUAAAUUCAUCAAUAUAUUCUCAAUGAUUCAACAUGAUAAGAUUCAGAUGUCACUUGUUAGAAUCAUAAAUCAAGAUAUAAAUAAAAUUUAAUGAACCAUAAAUUAAGAUCUAUCCUAUCAAAUCAUAAAAAAAACGACAACAAAAUUAGAUGCAGAAGCGUAGCUAAAUCCUUGGGUUUCUAAAUUUUUUUCGGAUAUUGGAGAUUUGAUCUUCCAAAUUAGCACAUAAUAAAUCUUGAGAAAAUGGUUUUCUCUUUUCUAAAAAUGAGAGAUUAGAAAAGUUACAUUGUGUGUAAUUUGAGUAGCAUAACCUUAAUAUAUAUAAUUUUGACACAUUAGCCCUAAUUCCUAAUCAACUUAUCAUUAAUUUGAAAUUAACUAUUAAAUAUAUACAUAUAUUUGACCCGUUCUUUAUUUAUAUUGGUGUAUUCCCUUUCACCCGUAUAAGCCGUUGUAGAGAACCCAUCAUUGCAGCUCCAUUGCAAGCCUGCAUUUUGACUUCCCACUAGUAUUUCUUACAAAUAACCUGCAAAUUUAUAAUCGACAAAUAGAAUUAAGAUAAGGAAUUCAAUUCAUAAUCAAUUAAUUCAUUUGUUAGAGCAGAAACUGAACAGCAUUUAAGACUUAAUUAAUCCCAUGAGAAAAAGGUAUUUUCCUUUGAAAACUUGACCAUUACCAAUUCUUCUGUUAACCAAGAACAUGAAAACUAAAGAACAGCAAUAUAUCUUAAGUUAAAAUAGAGAUGAUAAACAAAUCUCCCCGGAACUAUAUAAUUAACUGGAUAUAAAAAUUAGAGAGAGCAACGAAUUAAACAAAAUAUAUAAAAAAUAAAUGAUAAUUCAAGAAAUAUAGAAAUUAAAGAAGGACAUACUUGUUCUAAGGGUUCUCUUUUAUUUCUUUCUUUUCUUCUUCUCGCAUUUUCUUUUUGGGUGCAAUAGAAAGAAGGGCAUACUUGUUCAAGGUGAGCCUGUGAGAAACGAUGAGUGUGUAUGCAUCAAGGAAAGAAAGGGAAUUUGGUGUUUAGGGCUUCGGAAAUGGAGAAGGGAAUGAAUGCGAAGGCUGUAGUUGAAAGUGUAGAUAAUAUCUCAACAAUGGAUUCAGGACAUAAAAAGACAUAAAAACAAAAGGAACUCAAAUAGG
Molecule: long non-coding RNA, 1243 nt
Filed under: Gossypium barbadense (sea-island cotton)
Lineage: Eukaryota; Viridiplantae; Streptophyta; Magnoliopsida; Malvales; Malvaceae
Description: long non-coding RNA (GBAR_LNC004282)
Source: RNAcentral